GCAGAAGAUCCUCGGCAGUUAACU
RNAcentral lists this microRNA (24 nucleotides) under Medicago truncatula (barrel medic). RNAcentral describes it as "mtr-miR2629h". Lineage: Eukaryota; Viridiplantae; Streptophyta; Magnoliopsida; Fabales; Fabaceae. The record is from miRBase by way of RNAcentral.